Long non-coding RNA from Oncorhynchus tshawytscha (Chinook salmon), 1142 nucleotides. The record is from Ensembl. NCBI's taxonomy places the organism in Eukaryota, Metazoa, Chordata, Actinopteri, Salmoniformes, Salmonidae.
ACUAAAUACCUCCUCUGAGCAAACUAACAAUUGUAGCCAUUAUAAUUAAAUCACAAUGGAUUAGCUAGUUUCCAUUAAUUAGCUGACUGUGUUAGCUGCCAAUUAGUGCAGUGUCCUUAGCUAGCUAGCUAUGUUGUGCUAGCUUGCGAAUAUGCUAACGUUUGCUAGCUAGCUAAGCAUUUGGCUAUGUGCUGGCACUGGUAGUAUGGGAUUAUGGAGAGGGAAUUCAAUUGUUUCUUCGUCAUCUUGCUAGGUAGUUAUCUAGCUGUGGUUAUAUGGCUAGUAUCAACAAGGGCUUUCUACAAAAUAACAACAUUAGUGCAGAUAGCUUGGAAUCUAUUCUAGACCUUAAGCAAUACUCACGGGUAUGCAUUGCUAAACAAUGCUACUGCCACCUGGUUUGGAGCAUUUUAACAAGGCUGAUGACUUCCAAGGUCUUUGCUGUGUGAACAACACUGUUCAGAGGUGCUAAGUACAGUCGGCAGGCAAACGUUUGACAAAUCUACCAGUGUGUCUGAGCUUUAAGACGGAUUCCACUGGACCCAAGAGGAAUGAGGAUCCGUAAAAGCGUCAUCAUGGGGUCCCAGAGAAAUCUGUAACCUAUCUCAUUUGAUGAAGGCGUGCUCUGCAAAUACUCAACUGAUAGCGCAGGCUUGAAGGAUGCUGUUGCUUUCACUGGAUAUAGUUCUCAUGUCUGGUGAUGCUGAUACAGAGAUGUGGAAUACGAAUGGAUUGCUCUUUUUAUGAACCAGGCAGGAGGAGUACAGUAAAGUGUUACCUUGGAUAUGAGAAUGAGUCCUGUGAACCACUGUGCCAAAAUGCAGUAUGGGGACUGGUGAUACCAUGAAGACAGGGUCCAGAUGUUGCCCUUCUACCGAGGGGGAAUACAUUCCCUAUCACUCACACUGCAGUGGGAAAUCACUCCAGAGAAAAUCCCACCACUGAAAUGGAACUUGGGACAUGCUGCUGUAGCAGAGGAUCCUGCUCCUGCAUCUGACAGCUGAGCUGACCAAAGAGCAACUGUCAAGCUGUUGACAGAGCCACAAUGCCCACUCAACUGAGCUAUUUCAGAGGACAAUCAGAUCUGGGAGAGGAGAGGAAGCCACAAGCAGGUCUGGAAUCACAGAGGGAGCUGGCCACAC